This 1370-nucleotide ribosomal RNA is filed under the name Celaenorrhinus victor. RNAcentral describes it as "16S ribosomal RNA". The record is from RNAcentral. Lineage: Eukaryota; Metazoa; Arthropoda; Insecta; Lepidoptera; Hesperiidae.
UUGAGGGGGUUAGUUUAAUUAAAAAAUAAAUAAUAAAAAAAAUUUUAAUAUAAAUAUAUUUUAAUGGGGGUUAGAGUAUAAUUUAUAGAAAAAAUUUUAAAAUUUAUAGUUUAAUAGUAUUGUGAGAGAAAUUUGAAAUAAAAUGAAAAAUUAAUUAUUGUAAAAGUAAAUUUGAUUUAUUGUAUCUUGGGUAUCAGAGUUUAUUAAUAAGAAAUUUUUUAAAAAAAAAAAUCUCGAAUUUAAAAGAGAAAAUUAAUUAAAAAAGUUAUUGUGUCAUAAUUAUUUUUAAUAAUUAAUUUGAAAUGAAAUGUUAUUCGUUUUUAAAGAUAUCUAGUUUUUUUAGAAAUAAAUUAAAUUUAUAAUUUUUUUUUAAUAAAAAUUAAAUAUAUUUAAUUUUUAUUAGAAAAAAUUUAAUAAGUUAAGGGAUAAGCUUUAAUUUAAAUUUUUAUAAUAAAAAUAAAGAUUAAAAUAAAAUUUUUAAAAUUUAUAUUGUUUAUAAAUUAUAUUUUUUUAUAAAAAAUUUUAAUUAUUAAAAAAUUUUAAAAUUUAAAAUUUAAUUUUUUAUAAAAAAAUAAUUUUUAAUAAUAAAAAAUUAGUUAUAAUGAUAAAAUUAGUAAAAUUUUAAAAAUAUAAAAUUAAUAAAUUUAUAAGUAAAAAAAAGGAAUUCGGCAAAAAUGAAUAUUCACUUGUUUAUCAAAAACAUGUCUUUUUGAUUAUAAUUUAAAGUCUAAUCUGCCCACUGAUUAUUUAAUUAAAGGGCUGCAGUAUAUUGACUGUACAAAGGUAGCAUAAUCAUUAGUCUUUUAAUUGAAGACUUGUAUGAAGGAUUUGAUGAAAUAUUAACUGUCUCUUUAUUAUAGUUUGAAUUUAAUUUUUUAGUUAAAAAGCUAAAAUUUAUUUAAAAGACGAGAAGACCCUAUAGAGUUUUAUAGUUAAAUUUAUUUUUGUUUUAUAUAAAAAUUUAAAUUAAAAAUAAUGUUAAUUAUUUUAUUGGGGUGAUAGAAAAAUUUAAAUAACUUUUUUUUUUAUUAAACAUUAAUGUAUGAAAAAUUGAUCCAUAAUUUAUGAUUAAAAGAAAAAAUUACCUUAGGGAUAACAGCGUAAUUUUUUUUUUUAGUACAAAUAAAAAAAAGAGUUUGCGACCUCGAUGUUGGAUUAAGAUAAAAUUUAAAUGCAGAAGUUUAAAAUUUUGAUCUGUUCGAUCAUUAAAAUCUUACAUGAUCUGAGUUCAAACCGGUGUGAGCCAGGUUGGUUUCUAUCUUUAGAAAAAUUUAAUAUUUUAGUACGAAAGGAUUAAAUAUUAAAAAUAUAUUUUAAUGUAUGUGUAUAUGUAUAUAUGUAUAUAGAAUAUUAAUAAUUAGAAGUAAAAU